AGCUUUGCGUAGUGGCGAUAUCGUAACCGAUGAGGUCCAUCCUAGGUGCGAUUAUUGCUUGUUGAAAACUUUAGAAAACUAUUGAAAUUACUUCGAAAAUAGUUUUCAUCAAACGACUAUUAGAAAAAUAUCAGUCGAUUUUUAUAAUUUUAAAAUUAUA
Molecule: small nuclear RNA, 160 nt
Organism: Melanaphis sacchari
Lineage: Eukaryota; Metazoa; Arthropoda; Insecta; Hemiptera; Aphididae
Product: U4 spliceosomal RNA
Exons: 1
Source: RefSeq, a predicted model, not a curated record